RNAcentral lists this small RNA (28 nucleotides) under Bombyx mori (domestic silkworm). Its description in RNAcentral is "ovarian small RNA-15115". Lineage: Eukaryota; Metazoa; Arthropoda; Insecta; Lepidoptera; Bombycidae. The record is from RNAcentral.
GAACAAGAUGUGGUCUACGUAAGAGUUU